GUCAAGCUGACAACAACUCACACGUUUGCGGUUUAUUUCCCGAAGUUCAACCAUUUUGUGAAUUAGUUCCUCGUUUAUUGAUCACAUUACAAGUGAAUAAAAGAAUCCAAGAUCAUUGAUAGAAAGAAUGUCGUACGGAGGAAGAAGACCGUACGGUAGCUACCCUAGAAGGGAGUUGCCGCCCCUGUCCCCAACUUUUCGCCGUAACUAUGCUGAGCCUAACGUUCCUCCACGAGAGCCGAGCCGACCCGUCAUCCUGCCCAGCAUUGCUGACAAAUACGCCGACGGAGCUACCUAUCGUAGACACAGAAAAUGCUAUGCUCCUGAUAAUGCUAGGAGACCAGACCAGAGAAGGCGUCCCGUACCACGUACACGAACAUAUGGUGGGGCACUUGGCUUCAGAUCUAGCACAGACACAAGGCGCUACUAGCUCAUUUAAGAAAUUUCAAAUUAUCUAUGAAGAAAACUGCCAUUACGUUUCCCAGAGCUACUAUCUUUCCUAUCCGUGUACCUUAUACAAUAUUUAAUGUCAUCUAAAGUUCAUAGAAUGGUUCAAAUUCCUGGUCAUGCUUGGUAAGAAGGGACACACAUUCAUUUCAAGCUAAGUUAUCUGUUUACUUUUACAACAACCCAACAAAGAUAUUUCGCUACUUAUCAUUUUCCGCCGUAUAUCCCACUAUAUAUUGCUGAUAUGUUGUAUAACACAAGAUGGUGCCACUGACGCCAUCUUUUCAUUCUAAAUUACAUGUUUCUCUACUUUGCAAUUUAAUACCGAAACAUGUUAAUUUGAAAUUCAUACCGUACUAAAUUUUCUAAAGCUACAUUUAAAUGCAGUAUGCAUUGAAAACCUUUAAUUGGAAGAAAAAGAUCUUAAUAAUUUAAUGAUGUAAGUCUGUGCAUUUUAAACCACCGAAAUGUAUGUAGGUAAUGUUACAACAGGUUGUAAAAAGAUAUUGAAAUUGCUUUUUUUUUUUUUCAGGUAUUAUAAUUAGUGUUUUAUAUCAUAGCAAAACAAAUAAAGUAUUUUGGUAAAUGAUAUUUUUGCAAAAGCAAGAGAAAUUUGAAAAGAUGGGGGAAAUGUUUAUUCGUAUAUAUAGAUGAUAUUGUCACUUAUUGUAUUAAAUGUAAACUAUUAAUUAAACAUGCCUGGCCAUAAAAAGGUAAAUAUUGAAGGAUGUUUGAUCAUACAAGACAUCUUGGGUAUAAUUUCAUGGAAUAUAAUUUGGUAUAAUGAUAUUGGGGAAUAGCAUUAUUGUAGCAUAUGGUUGGGUUAUAACGUUGUUGGGGCAUCACGUUUUUCAGAUAUAACGUUCAUGGGGUAAAAAAAACAUCUCUUUUUUGGUUUAGCGGUGAUUAAGUAGAACAUUCCCGGAGUAGAAUGUUGUCGGGGUAUAGCAUCGUUAGGGUAUAACGCUGUUGGGUAUACAACGUUAUUAUGGAAGAACGAUAUUAAGGCAGAAGGCAAUGCGUUGUUGGGGUAUAUUGUAGUUGCAAUGGAACAUUCCUAGGAAUACAACGUGUUUGUGGUAGAAUGUUGUUAGAAUAUCAAGUUGUAAUGAAAAAACGUUGUGUGGUAUAACAAUGCAUGAGUUAUCAGUUAUAUUGCCAAGAUAAACGUUGCAGGUUAUCAACUUGUUGUGGUUCAACGUUGUAGGCCGAUCACAUUGCUCGUUCCUAGGAUGUAAAAUUGUUGUAGAACAGAGAUAGAAAAAACAAAAACAAAGCGAGCCAAAAAAGAACAUAGGGGAAAAAGAACAAAACGAAAAAUAAGAAAAAAAAAGCAAAAGAGAAAGAAAAAAACCCUAAAAAAAUUAGAAAAGAGGCAAUGGCUUUAGGAAAAUCGAAUAAAGUCAGAAAUAGGGAAUGUUGCGUCCAAUGCGGGUGUACAAUCUUAGCAACCAUUAACGUCAUAUAAAAUGUAAUAAUAAUAAAUAGAAAUUAUAACAUGGAAGUAUAAAGAAAUUAAGUAAUAGGAGGUGGUAUAAUGUUGUUUGAAUAUACUCUUUUCAGGAGAGAACGAUGUGUGUUACAACGUUGAUUAGGCAGAACGUUGGUGAGGUAUCGAGAUAGUCAUAAUGUUGUGUGGAAGAACUUUGUUGGGCCUUUAGUGAAUAGAACGUUCAUAGAAUAGAACGUUGUUGUAGCAUAACGUUAUAAUGGUAUAACGUUGUUUAGAUAUAACGUUCUGAGGAUAAAACGUUGUCGUGGCCUAACGUUGUUGGGGUAUAUCGUUGUUUGGAUGGAACAUUCUUAGGAUAGCACGUUAAUUUGGCCGAACGUUGGUGGGUAUAUCGUUGUUUGGAUGAAACAUUCUUAGGAUAAAACGUAGUCAUGGCAGCACGUUGGCAGGGAAUAUCGUUGUUUGGAUGGAACAUUCUUAGGAUAGAACGUUGUUGUGGCCGAACGUUAUUAGAUAUAGCGUUGUUUUGAGUUAACGUUCUGACGAUAGAAAAAUAUGGUGGUAUCACGUUGUGUUGGUAUAACAUUGCUGUUUUGAUAAACCGUUAGAGACAUCAAUAUCAUAUACAUCUCAGCAUAUUAUCCCCGCAACAUGAUACACCAUUACAGGAACAUCCAAAGAACUGUGUACCUUGGUUACCCUUCCAUGAAAGAAAAAGAAAAUAAGAAAGUAAAUACCAAGAAAACAUAAGCGAGAAAAAGAUGGAAAAAAGAAAAAGAGAAAAGAAAGAAAAAUGAAAACAGAAAAAAAAUAGAAAAAAGCAGAAGAAAAAAAAAGAGUAAAAAAAAAAAGAAAAAUUGAAAGAAAAAUAGAAAAAAAAUAGAAAAAGAAAAAGGACAUUGUUGGAAUAUCUAGAUAAUGCUUAUAACAUUAUGUGAAAAAUCAUGUUGGGCCAUCAUCGUAUUUGGAAUAGAACGUUCAUAGGAUAGAACGUUGUUGUGGCAGAACGUUGUAGGGGUAUGUCGUUGUUUGGAUAUAACAUUCUGAGAAGAGAAAGUUGUUGUGGAAGAACGAUGUGUUAGUAUAACAUUGCCUGGAUGUAACGUUCUUAGGAUCUUACAUUGCUAUGGCAGAGCCUUUUUGAGGCAUACCUUUGUCUGGAAGAAACGUUGUUGGGAUAAAUAGUUAUAGACAACAAUAUCAUAUAUGUGUCAGCAUUUUAUCCCAACAACAUGAUACCUCACGACAGGUUUAUCCAAGGAACAGUGUAUCUACCCGUCCAUUAAAGAAAAAGAAAAUAAGAAAGGAAAAGAGAAAAAAAGGAAAAGAGAAAAAAAGGAAAAGAAAAAA
RNAcentral lists this unclassified non-coding RNA (3250 nucleotides) under Mizuhopecten yessoensis (Yesso scallop). RNAcentral's name for it is "uncharacterized LOC110455258, transcript variant X1". The record is from RNAcentral. Lineage: Eukaryota; Metazoa; Mollusca; Bivalvia; Pectinida; Pectinidae.